UACGUAGGGUGCAAGCGUUAAUCGGAAUUACUGGGCGUAAAGCGUGCGCAGGCGGCUUUGCAAGACAGAUGUGAAAUCCCCCGGCUCAACUGGGGAACUGCAAGGGAUACAGCGGGGCUUGAGUUCGGGAGAGGGAAGCGGAAUUCCGGGUGUAGCGGUGAAAUGCGCAGAUAUCAGGAGGAACACCGGUGGCGAAGGCGGGUCUCUGGGCCGUAACUGACGCUGAGGAGCGAAAGCGUGGGGAGCGAACAGG
Molecule: ribosomal RNA, 253 nt
Filed under: uncultured bacterium
Lineage: Bacteria
Description: partial 16S ribosomal RNA
Rfam family: Bacterial small subunit ribosomal RNA
Source: RNAcentral